UCCAGGGUAGCCUAGUGGACUUGGCAUCUGCCGUAAGUGGAACACUAUGGGUUCGAUUCCUAUCCCUGAAC
This is a non-coding RNA of Cordylochernes scorpioides, 71 nucleotides long. The record is from the annotation of a GenBank genome assembly. NCBI's taxonomy places the organism in Eukaryota, Metazoa, Arthropoda, Arachnida, Pseudoscorpiones, Chernetidae.